Molecule: non-coding RNA, 64 nt
Filed under: Alexandrium minutum
Lineage: Eukaryota; Dinophyceae; Gonyaulacales; Pyrocystaceae
Source: RNAcentral
UACUUUUUUUUUUUUUUUUUUUUUUUUUUUUUUUUUUUUUUUUUUUUUUACAUUCACCAUCUCU